RNAcentral lists this ribosomal RNA (503 nucleotides) under uncultured bacterium. RNAcentral's name for it is "partial 16S ribosomal RNA". It matches the Rfam family "Bacterial small subunit ribosomal RNA", at positions 30 to 523 of the family's 1533-position model. The record is from RNAcentral.
AUUGAACGCUGGCGGUAGGCUUAACACAUGCAAGUCGAGCGGGGUGAUGGUGCUUGCACUAUCACUUAGCGGCGGACGGGUGAGUAAUGCUUAGGAAUCUGCCUAUUAGUGGGGGACAACAUCUCGAAAGGGAUGCUAAUACCGCAUACGUCCUACGGGAGAAAGCAGGGGAUCACUUGUGACCUUGCGCUAAUAGAUGAGCCUAAGUCGGAUUAGCUAGUUGGUGGGGUAAAGGCCUACCAAGGCGACGAUCUGUAGCGGGUCUGAGAGGAUGAUCCGGCACACUGCGACUGAGACACGGCCCAGACUCCUACGGGAGGCAGCAGUGGGGAAUAUUGGACAAUGGGGGGAACCCUGAUCUAGCCAUGCCGCGUGUGUGAAGAAGGCCUUAUGGUUGUAAAGCACUUUAAGCGAGGAGGAGGCUCUUUUGGUUAAUACCCAAGAUGAGUGGACGUUACUCGCAGAAUAAGCACCGGCUAACUCUGUGCCAGCAGCCGCAGUAA